This 497-nucleotide ribosomal RNA is filed under the name uncultured bacterium. RNAcentral's name for it is "partial 16S ribosomal RNA". It matches the Rfam family "Bacterial small subunit ribosomal RNA", at positions 28 to 507 of the family's 1533-position model. The record is from RNAcentral.
GAUGAACGCUGGCGGCGUGCCUAAUACAUGCAAGUCGAGCGAACAGACGAGGAGCUUGCUCCUCUGACGUUAGCGGCGGACGGGUGAGUAACACGUGGAUAACCUACCUAUAAGACUGAGAUAACUUCGGGAAACCGGAGCUAAUACCGGAUAAUAUAUUGAACCGCAUGGUUCAUUAGUGAAAGACGGUUUUGCUGUCACUAAUAGAUGGAUCCGCGCCGCAUUAGCUAGUUGGUAAGGUAACGGCUUACCAAGGCAACGAUGCGUAGCUGACCUGAGAGGGUGAUCGGCCACACUGGAACUGAGACACGGUCCAGACUCCUACGGGAGGCAGCAGUAGGGAAUCUUCCGCAAUGGGCGAAAGCCUGACGGAGCAACGCCGCGUGAGUGAUGAAGGUCUUCGGAUCGUAAAACUCUGUUAUUAGGGAAGAACAAAUGUGUAAGUAACUAUGCACGUCUUGACGGUACCUAAUCAGAAAGCCACGGCUAACUACGUG